UUUUUUUUUUACUAUGCCAAGAUCUAAUUGCAUUGUUGAUAUCUUCUUGUUAUUUUGCGUUCUCAAUUUCAUUUUUUGCGUUCAUGACUUCGUUAAAUUUGAAGAACUUUGUGCGAGAGCUAGGGUUUCUUUUGCAUCUGAGAUAGAGGUCCGAAAUUUUAGAGUUUCGGAAAAAGGAAAAGAAUUCGUUGGUUGCUGUAAAUUUUUGG
This 209-nucleotide unclassified non-coding RNA is filed under the name Hevea brasiliensis (rubber tree). Lineage: Eukaryota; Viridiplantae; Streptophyta; Magnoliopsida; Malpighiales; Euphorbiaceae. The record is from RNAcentral.